UCGACGGUGAUGAGGGGCUUGCCCUUCUGAUCAGUGGCGAACGGGUGAGUAACACGUGAGUAACCUGCCCUUCACUCUGGGAUAACGCUGGGAAACUGGUGCUAAUACUGGAUAUGACCUGCUCGGGCAUCCGAUGUGGGUGGAAAGAUUUAUUGGUGGGGGAUGGACUCGCGGCCUAUCAGCUUGUUGGUGAGGUAAUGGCUCACCAAGGCGACGACGGGUAGCCGGCCUGAGAGGGCGAUCGGCCACACUGGGACUGAGACACGGCCCAGACUCCUACGGGAGGCAGCAGUGGGGAAUAUUGCACAAUGGGCGAAAGCCUGAUGCAGCGACGCCGCGUGAGGGAUGAAGGCCUUCGGGUUGUAAACCUCUUUCAGCAGGGAAGAAGCGCCCGGGUUUUCCCGGGUGUGACGGUACCUGCAGAAGAAGCACCGGCUAACUACGUGCCAGCAGCCGCGGUAAUACGUAGGGUGCGAGCGUUGUCCGGAAUUAUUGGGCGUAAAGAGCUUGUAGGCGGUUUGUCGCGUCUGCUGUGAAAUUUCGGGGCUCAACCCCGAACUUGCAGUGGGUACGGGCAGACUAGAGUGUGGUAGGGGAGACUGGAAUUCCUGGUGUAGCGGUGAAAUGCGCAGAUAUCAGGAGGAACACCGAUGGCGAAGGCAGGUCUCUGGGCCACUACUGACGCUGAGAAGCGAAAGCAUGGGGAGCGAACAGGAUUAGAUACCCUGGUAGUCCAUGCCGUAAACGUUGGGAACUAGGUGUGGGCCUCAUUCCACGAGGUCCGUGCCGCAGCUAACGCAUUAAGUUCCCCG
Molecule: ribosomal RNA, 812 nt
Filed under: uncultured bacterium
Lineage: Bacteria
Description: bacterial SSU rRNA
Rfam family: Bacterial small subunit ribosomal RNA
Source: RNAcentral